This 209-nucleotide long non-coding RNA is filed under the name Lathyrus oleraceus (garden pea). RNAcentral's name for it is "Pisum sativum (pea) long non-coding RNA (PSAT_LNC036145)". The record is from RNAcentral. Lineage: Eukaryota; Viridiplantae; Streptophyta; Magnoliopsida; Fabales; Fabaceae.
AAAUACAAAAGUUGUCUCCAUAGAGAUGUAUUUAAAAAUAAUAAUUGAAACAUGUUUUACAAGGUAAAAUUGGGGAUGCGCAAAUGAUUUAAAUUAACAAAAAUAAUAAACAAGUAUAUAAAUAUAAUUUGAUUAAAAAGUGAGCAGGUUUUAUUCAAAUCUCCUAAAUGUCAUGGCAAAUGAUUGUGUUUAUUUGCUUUCAAUCAAUC